UACGUAUGGUGCGAGCGUUGUCCGGAUUUACUGGGCGUGAAGGGGGCGCAGGCGGCGCGCCAAGCCCGAUGUGAAAGCCCGGGGCUCAAUCCCGGGACUGCAUUGGGAACUGGCGUGCUGGAGUGCCGGAGGGGCAGGCGGAAUUCCUGGUGUAGCGGUGAAAUGCGUAGAUAUCAGGAGGAACACCGGUGGCGAAGGCGGCCUGCUGGACGGAUACUGACGCUGAGGCCCGAAAGCGUGGGGAGCGAACAGG
Molecule: ribosomal RNA, 253 nt
Filed under: uncultured bacterium
Lineage: Bacteria
Description: partial 16S ribosomal RNA
Rfam family: Bacterial small subunit ribosomal RNA
Source: RNAcentral